CGCCUUGCCAGCCCGCUCAGAAACUUAAAGGAAUUGACGGGGCCCGCACAAGCGGAGGAGCAUGUGGUUUAAUUCGAUGAUACGCGAGGAACCUUACCUGGGCUCGAACGUAAGAUGACUGUAGGUGAAAGCUUACAUCUCUUCGGAGCAUUUUACGAGGUGCUGCAUGGUUGUCGUCAGCUCGUGCCGUGAGGUGUCGGGUUAAGUCCCAUAACGAGCGCAACCCCUACCUUUAGUUGCCAUCAGGUAAUGCUGGGGACUCUAAAGGAACUGCCUACGCAAGUAGUGAGGAAGGCGGGGAUGACGUCAAAUCAGCACGGCCCUUACGUCCAGGGCUACACACGUGCUACAAUGGCCGAUACAGAGGGCAGCUACCUGGUGACAGGAUGCAAAUCUCCAAAGUCGGUCUCAGUUCGGAUCGGAGUCUGCAACCCGACUCCGUGAAGUUGGAUUCGCUAGUAAUCGCGCAUCAGCCAUGGCGCGGUGAAUACGUUCCCGGGCCUU
This 504-nucleotide ribosomal RNA is filed under the name uncultured Sphingobacteriales bacterium. RNAcentral's name for it is "bacterial SSU rRNA". It matches the Rfam family "Bacterial small subunit ribosomal RNA", at positions 903 to 1382 of the family's 1533-position model. Lineage: Bacteria; Pseudomonadati; Bacteroidota; Sphingobacteriia; Sphingobacteriales. The record is from RNAcentral.